This 464-nucleotide ribosomal RNA is filed under the name uncultured bacterium. RNAcentral describes it as "partial 16S ribosomal RNA". It matches the Rfam family "Bacterial small subunit ribosomal RNA", at positions 339 to 795 of the family's 1533-position model. The record is from RNAcentral.
CUACGGGGCGCAGCAGUGGGGAAUAUUGCACAAUGGGCGCAAGCCUGAUGCAGCCUUGCCGCGUGUAUGAAGAAGGCCUUCGGGUUGUAAAGUGCUUUCAGCGGGGAGGAAGGGAGUAAAGUUAAUACCUUUGCUCAUUGACGUUACCCGCAGAAGAAGCACCGGCUAACUCCGUGCCAGCAGCCGCGGUAAUACGGAGGGUGCAAGCGUUAAUCGGAAUUACUGGGCGUAAAGCGCACGCAGGCGGUUUGUUAAGUCAGAUGUGAAAUCCCCGGGCUCAACCUGGGAACUGCAUCUGAUACUGGCAAGCUUGAGUCUCGUAGAGGGGGGUAGAAUUCCAGGUGUAGCGGUGAAAUGCGUAGAGAUCUGGAGGAAUACCGGUGGCGAAGGCGGCCCCCUGGACGAAGACUGACGCUCAGGUGCGAAAGCGUGGGGAGCAAACAGGAUUAGAUACCCCCGUAGUC